This 252-nucleotide ribosomal RNA is filed under the name uncultured bacterium. RNAcentral's name for it is "partial 16S ribosomal RNA". It matches the Rfam family "Bacterial small subunit ribosomal RNA", at positions 524 to 776 of the family's 1533-position model. The record is from RNAcentral.
UACGUAGGGGGCUAGCGUUGUCCGGAAUCAUUGGGCGUAAAGCGCGUGUAGGCGGUCCGGUAAGUCCGCUGUGAAAGUCGGGGGCUCAACCUCGAAUGCCGGUGGAUACUGUCGGGCUAGAGUGCGGAAGAGGCGAGUGGAAUUCCUGGUGUAGCGGUGAAAUGCGCAGAUAUCAGGAGGAACACCUAUUGCGAAGGCAGCUCGCUGGGACGUAACUGACGCUGAGACGCGAAAGCGUGGGGAGCAAACAGG